RNAcentral lists this transfer RNA (71 nucleotides) under Bos taurus (domestic cattle). It matches the Rfam family "tRNA". Rfam says of the family: Transfer RNA (tRNA) molecules are approximately 80 nucleotides in length. Their secondary structure includes four short double-helical elements and three loops (D, anti-codon, and T loops). Lineage: Eukaryota; Metazoa; Chordata; Mammalia; Artiodactyla; Bovidae. RNAcentral also lists the same sequence under 5 other names. The record is from Rfam by way of RNAcentral.
CCUGGGUUGGUCCAGUGGCUAGGACUCUGCACUCCCAAUGGAGAGGGCCCAGGUUCGAUCCCUGGUCAGGG